ACGGUGGAGGGAGGUGGGAGGCCGAGACGGCCCCGGGGGUCGGCGGAGACCCAGCGGGAGCAGGGGGAAAUCGGAAGAGCUGGGGGCAUGGAGCGGGCGAGUUUGGAGCGGAAUGAGCCGGGAGCCCUACGUUGUGGAAGGAAGACAACAGUAUAGGACCAUCAGCAGGACCGGACAGAGAGGGGCACCCCUGGCUGUCCUGGAACUUGUAGACCAGGCUGGCCUUGAACUCAGAAAUCCGCCUGCCUCUGACUCCCGAGUGCUGAGAUUAAAGGUGUGCACCACCACACCCGACAAGGAAGCCUGUUUUAAGAAGUGAUUCCAUGGAGGAGUUCUGCGGCGGCUCAGGGCUUGACUAAACAGUGGACCUCAGACAAGAGAGGCUAAACCAGGCUGCAGGUGACAGGAAGAAUUGAAUAAACUGAAAGCAAAGGGCAGCCUUCUAAUUACGCUUCGUGGCUAUGUGGACAACCUGGAGAAGUCUGGAAACACCCGAGGGUGAAGGAUGAGGAGGAUGGAAGAAAAUGGGAGUGGCGCUUGCUGCAAAGGGUCUCGAAGGGUCUCAGCACCUGCGAACUGGCUCCAAUCCAAACUCCACUAUUCAUGGUCAAGUUCACAUAGGGCUUGGGGUUCUAACAAGAUGUGACUAAACUUACGUUUUCUAUCUUAUUGAUUGUUGUUGAUGCACGUCUGGUGGUACAUGCUUGAAGAACACAGACACCCUGAGAAGAAAGACAUAGCUCCCCAGAUUCCAGCACGCACUUCUCUGUGAGCUACCACUGUAGCUGAAGAUACAGGGCUCAGGAGGAACACUUGGCCUUCGCUCUGAACUUCAGGCCCACGUAACCAUCAGCCGACAUGACACUGCAAAGGCACCUUAGCUCUGCUGUCCCAGAUGGCCAAGCCAACCUUAUUCCAGAAGCUACUUCUCCUGAUGUAAGAACCAGACACAAAGGACAACCUCUGCCUCACCCUCCUUCACACAACACUGAGUCUGUCAUCUUUGAAGCAUUUCUCAAGCCAUGUUUAUUCCCCUGGCCUACGUGGAACACAGCCAGGGUACGGAACACAACCUCAGCACCGGUCUGCUUUCCUCUCCCCAUUUCUGGUCUUUCUCAGAUGCCCAGAGCUCCUCUGUCCCAAUGACUGCUUAUCAAAGAUCUCACUGUGUCCCCACCCAAGGGGUCUUUGGCCACCCUGUGAAGUCCUAGUGGCCUGGAGUUUGCCCCCUUUCCCAGACACCUUAGGGUUCCUGCUGCAGCUCCAGAACUGGGGGAGCAGGGUUGGGGGUGAGUGUGUGUGUGUGUGUGUGUGUGUGUGUGUGUGUGUGUGUUGACUCACCCUGCAGUAUUCUCUCCAUCUGCACAGGUCCCCAGUCUCUGAGACUGAAUCACCCCUCUUUCACUAUGCCUCUGCACAGCUGCCCUUGUGCUCCCUCUCCUUGCCCCGCCUCUUUUUAAGACAGUAUUAUGCAGCCCUGGCUGUCCUGGAACUUAUGUAAACCAGCCUGGCCUUGAACUUGCAGAGAUCCACCUGCCUUUGCCUCUGCCCCUGCCCCUGCCCCUGCCCCUGCCCCUGCCCCUGCCCCUGCCUUUCUGCCUCUGCCUCUGCCUCUCUGCCUUUCUGCCUCUGCCUCUCUGCCUCUGCCUCUCUGCCUCUGCCUCUCAAGUGUCAGGGAUUAAUGCCUGCCACCUCCCCAGUCCCACCCCUCUCCAUCUACCAUGUGGGUUCCACGGGGCAAACCCAAGUCAUCAGGCUUGUUGGCCAGUGCCUUUAUCCACUGAGCCAAGCCGCUUGGUGUGUCUUUGAUGGUGAUUAUUUACAGGAGCUAUUCAGCAAGGUUAAAUGCUGGCAACCCAAUGAGGGGGUCUCUUGAUCCAAAACUGAGAAGUUGAGGCACUAUUUCAGAAUGACCAAAGACAGUAGAAGAAUCUAGAUAUGUCGAUGAUGAGAACAAUGAUAACUCCAAAAGCUGAGGGAAAUUAACUCAAAAUCUUCCAGCUUCCUUUUCCUUACCUAGUUUGGCGGACUCCAACUCUUGGGAUAGCUUUUUUUCUGGCCCCAAACUCACCUGAUUCGUCUGUCCACUGCCACACUGAAGAAUGAACAGCUGUCUCAGAGAGCUUGGCUCCAGAGCUCUGCAAAAAGAGGACACCUUGCCUUGAGCUGUGUUUCCAGAAUGUAUUGCAGCCCCCAGAGUCAUGUACUGUGACCAGGUGAGGACAUGCAUCUUCUGUUCUCCUGCACCCAGGGCCCCAGCAACCAAGGAUCUGGGGACAUGGCGGGUGUUUGGCAGGUUCGCACUCUGAAAAUAUUUGAUGAGACUCAGUAUAUGCUAAAUAAACACUGGAUCAA
RNAcentral lists this long non-coding RNA (2355 nucleotides) under Mus musculus (house mouse). Its description in RNAcentral is "predicted gene 20544". Lineage: Eukaryota; Metazoa; Chordata; Mammalia; Rodentia; Muridae. The record is from RNAcentral.